UUUAAAAAAUUAUCAAAUCUCUGUGUUAUAUAAGUUUUGAUACUAUAUUUGAAUAAAGUGUAAUAUACCUUUUUAAUUUGUAUUCUUUAACUAAUUUAAGCUAACUAAUAUAUUUGCUAAUCUUAUAUCUAUCAAAAUCGACUAUCGUUUCUUAUCUCUAUAGUAUUUUUGCAAGACUUUUUUGGUGGAUUUGGAUAAAAAUGCAUUCGGGUCAUAUGGUACAUUCCCCUAUUAAAUAAAUAUGGUGCACUCCUAUGUUAUUAGCUAAAAUGUUUAGAUUAGGCCUGGGCAAAAAAACCGCUAACCGAUUAACCGAACCGAACCGAACCGAAAAACAUGGUUCGGUUCGGGUUUGGAUAGCUUAAAAUAACCGGCUGGAUAUUAUAUGUCUUAGAUUUCGGUUUCGGUUUCGGUUACGUUAGUAACCGAUAACCAAAGGAUAACCAAAGCAUAUAUGUAUGAUAGAUAAUAUAUCAUAUAUAUUGUAUGUAUUGACACUUAACUAUGUUCUUCUCUUUAUUAGUUUGCAAGUUGAAUUUCGUGAGUUGUGAAUGGACCAUAUUUGCAUCUUUGUGAGUUGUGAAUAUGUCUUUUUUACGUACGUUCUAUAUCGGUUAUUGGUCAAUUUUUUUGGUUGUUCAGGUUUUUAGUCGGUUAUUUCGGUUUUAGGUUAUUUAUGGUUACCAAGUUUAAUAUCUGAACCGAACCGAACCGAAAGAUAACCGAACCGAACCAAAAUUCCUCAAAUAUCCAAAUGGUUCUUGUAUUACUAUA
Molecule: small RNA, 774 nt
Filed under: Arabidopsis thaliana (thale cress)
Lineage: Eukaryota; Viridiplantae; Streptophyta; Magnoliopsida; Brassicales; Brassicaceae
Description: ATSL079140
Source: RNAcentral